Molecule: long non-coding RNA, 454 nt
Organism: Leopardus geoffroyi (Geoffroy's cat)
Lineage: Eukaryota; Metazoa; Chordata; Mammalia; Carnivora; Felidae
Exons: 3
Source: RefSeq, a predicted model, not a curated record
CUACAGCUCUGAACUUUGUGUCUACCUCUGUACACCACCACUUAAAGGAGAGGGAGCUACAGGACGAGAUACUGAGGAGAAAAAACAUUCAUUUGUGAAAUGGUUGGGGAAUAAUCCAAGGAAGAACCUAAUCAAUGUUGGAGUCAUCAGGGACCAUUUAUUCUGUAACCUGGGAGUCAAGUGAAGUUUGGAGGAGUGAGGGAUCUCCAAAUUAAGAAAGUUUCCAGGUGUUAGGAUUUUUGGCAGUUUCAGAUGAAGGAUUCCAUCAGGACACAACAUUACAUUUAGAUGCCAGGUCUCCACAAUCCUUUUGCUUUGAUACUUUUCUUAUGAUUGGACCAGGAUUAUGUGUUUUUGGAGAAAUGCCAAAGAGCACCAUGGACCCUCCCAUGAGGAACAUGAGCUGCCAUUUUUAAGACCACUGCUGAACUAAAGAGGGAGGAAUCAGGCCGGG